Triticum urartu is the source of this 1477-nucleotide non-coding RNA. Lineage: Eukaryota; Viridiplantae; Streptophyta; Magnoliopsida; Poales; Poaceae. The record is from RefSeq and is a predicted model, not a curated record.
UGGGCAGGGUAUGGCAUCCGCCAUACCUUGAUUCUGGGGCAAUUUUUUUUAUACCUAUGCAUCUAUCGAUCGGCAGACUCUGGAUCGGCAUCGGCUGUUUCGUUCGACCGCAGCCAGCAGCGCUGGCCUGAUGGGCUGACGCAUCCAGCUGUUGGGCCACGCAGGCAGGCACGACAGGUUCGAUUCCAUUGAGAGUGUCUAAAAAAAGGUUUGAUUCGAUCGAGCGGCCACACACACAACGCACACGCACGCACGCGACCAACUCUACCCAGACGCGACGCAACCCUAAGCAGCUAGCGCGAUGGCGGCUGCUGGCCAUGUCGCGAGGACCAGGCGGGCGACUGAUGACGGGGGCAGCUGACGGCGGCGGCAGGCUGGGGGCUUAUAGGGCUGCCGCAGCAAGCUCCAGCGAAGGAAGCAAGCGGCGGCUUCAGUGGCGGUAGAAGCAAGUUCCAGCAGACGACGGCAGUUGGGAAUUUUCCUGGCCAUUCCCCGGUGUACGAACCAGAGGACUAAUUGCAGCCACUUUGUUGGGUAUUGGCAAUUUUUCUUCUGUCAAUUCUGCAGGAUCUGAACCAACUACAGUAAUUCUGAAUAUAACGGAUAAAAAUUUAUGUAGCGACCUUGUACAAUAUGGUGGAAAGUUUGUCUAUAUUUUUUCAUUCAUGCUAGUGUACUGUGGACGCACAAGUUUUUGUUUUUAGAUGAUUAUGCAUAAAAGCUAAUAAGAUGCCCAACUGGCGCAGUUCUAGACGCCAUUGAAAUCUUCAUUAUUGGUUUGUUUUAGGUUAUUUUCCUAUUGAAAUAUGCCUACAUUUUCAUUGUAUUGGGGUUUCCGUUUGUAAUGUGUAUUGACUCUUUUGAUUUGCAUCAAAAAAAUUCUUUCCUUAAGACUUCGCCACACCUUAAAAAAAAUUCGUCCUCCGCCUCUGAUCGAGGGAGUGCGUGCAGGGGAAGAACAAGGCCACCAAAAUGGUCGACAGAGAAAGAAGCAGUGUAGGGAAAGAUGGUUCCAUGUUAGGGACUCAGAAGUCAGUACUGGCAGAUUGAAAGUUGUUUUCAUGCCACGUGUUUCUCGAUUAUAUUAGUCAAAGAAUUGUUUUUUAAGCCCAAGCCGCCGGAAAUGGCUAAGUCAAACUCGAACGCGAAAGGGAUGAAUCCAAUACAAACUUUUUUGAAAAGUUUGUCGCACAUGCCUUAUUGGAUUAUAUCGAGGAAGGUGCCGUGAUGGUACACAAGCUGAUCGCUCCAUUGAGGAAGGUGCCAUGAUGGUACACAAGUUGAUCGCUCCAUCUAGCCACUUGGACUAUAGUAGUAAGUUUCUGGCUUCAACUGCUCAAUGGAUGACGCUCAUGCCACCCUCCAUGGGAUGAUGCACAUUAUAUAUGCACACAUUUGGUGCCUAGCAUUCUUGACUUGUGCCUCAUCAAGCCAACUGCUCCUGAUUCCUGAAGCGGUAAAAAGAGCGAGCUUUGAG